Molecule: non-coding RNA, 27 nt
Filed under: Macaca fascicularis (crab-eating macaque)
Lineage: Eukaryota; Metazoa; Chordata; Mammalia; Primates; Cercopithecidae
Also listed under: 4 other names
Source: RNAcentral
AGAUUUCCGUGGAGAGGAACAAUUCUG